UACAGAGGUCCCAAGCGUUGUUCGGAUUCACUGGGCGUAAAGGGUGCGCAGGUGGCAUGGUAAGUUCGAUGUGAAAGCCCCGGGCUUAACCCGGGAAAGGCAUUGGAUACUACUGUGCUGGAGGAUUGGAGGGGGGACUGGAAUUCUUGGUGUAGCAGUGAAAUGCGUAGAUAUCGGGAGGAACACCAGUGGCGAAGGCGACUACCUGGCCUGUUUCUUGACGCUGAGGCGCGAAAGCUAGGGGAGCAAACGGG
Molecule: ribosomal RNA, 254 nt
Filed under: uncultured bacterium
Lineage: Bacteria
Description: partial 16S ribosomal RNA
Rfam family: Bacterial small subunit ribosomal RNA
Source: RNAcentral